Mandrillus leucophaeus (drill) is the source of this 1209-nucleotide long non-coding RNA. RefSeq lists it as uncharacterized. Lineage: Eukaryota; Metazoa; Chordata; Mammalia; Primates; Cercopithecidae. The transcript is spliced from 2 exons. The record is from RefSeq and is a predicted model, not a curated record.
CCUCCUUCAAUAUGCGGCUUGACUGUGAUUCGUGGCACAAAACUGAAAUAACCCUGCCAGGUCUUAGAAGCUUUAAGAUUCAUCGUUUUGAACUUGAUACACAUAGUACAGUACCUUAAAAACGAAUCAUCUGCUAGUUCAGUAUUUUCUACUUACAAUCACUCCCUCCCAGGGCAUGUAAUUAAUUUACUGAGCUUAAAAAAAAAAAAAAAAAAAAAAAAAAAAACAGGAUUACUCACACAGUCUUGAAGAUGCAAUGUCAUCUAUUUAGGACAGAAACAUCCAAGGCCGUGUCAGAACUCAAUUACGACUACAUAUGCAUUAAGGCAGGAACUGGCAGGCCUCUGGAUACGCCAACUAUAGGACUCGUGCUUCUCGUACGCUGGGCUAUAAUCUAUGAAACUGAGCUCCAGAGCCAGCCAAUCACUUAGCUCCUCAUAACAAGUCUAACUGGCUCUGGAAAGCUGAAAGGGCUGCACUGGAACAACACAGAAGAGAUAUUCUACACAUUAAUCUACUUAUCUGGAAUCACUUUGACUCUAAAGGGCAGAGAAAAAUCACAGCUUCCUUGUUGGAGGGGAAAAGGACAGGUGAUCUGGGGAAAACGCAGCUACACCUGGAGCAAGGUCUCUUCCCGGCUUUGCAAUCCCAACUGUGCCCGCGCUUCAGGACCCGAGUCGUCCCAGAAACCAAAGGGCAGGCACGGCAGCAAAUGCCUGAGUGCUGCUGCCUUUGGUGACUAUGUGAGAAUGGAAACUUCUAAGGAAGCCAGGUUGUUAGAAUUGUUACCCCCUUUACUCGAAGAUAACAUAGAUUAUCCAGACUGAGAUGGAAAACAAGCCCUUUAUUGAAUUUUCAACACAGACUCCCUGCUUCUCAUCUCCUUAAUAAAAUUUCAUUAAACCCCCCUAGAAUUCCCAUGUUCAAAUCUCCAUUUGUUGACAGACAAGGCCAAGAAUACUCUAAACUGAGGCAUGCAAGUCAUUUCAUUUGUAUUCUUGUCCAAAAAUUUCCCAUAGGAAGACUUCACCUCCUACAAUUCUGAAGAAAACUCUUACUGUCCAAGACAAUCGCCAGCAACCAUCCACAGUCAUCUGAGUGGAAACUUUCACAGCUUUUGUACAUUCUCUGUGUCAACAUACAACUGAGUUACAGACUGUCCCCUGGCUCCCUGACCCUUACAAACACUAAAAGUUUUGUUUGACUCAA